AUACGUAGGUCCCGAGCGUUGUCCGGAUUUAUUGGGCGUAAAGCGAGCGCAGGCGGUUUAAUAAGUCUGAAGUUAAAGGCAGUGGCUUAACCAUUGUUCGCUUUGGAAACUGUUAAACUUGAGUGCAGAAGGGGAGAGUGGAAUUCCAUGUGUAGCGGUGAAAUGCGUAGAUAUAUGGAGGAACACCGGUGGCGAAAGCGGCUCUCUGGUCUGUAACUGACGCUGAGGCUACGAAAGCGGUGGGGAGAC
This 249-nucleotide ribosomal RNA is filed under the name uncultured bacterium. RNAcentral's name for it is "partial 16S ribosomal RNA". It matches the Rfam family "Bacterial small subunit ribosomal RNA", at positions 523 to 771 of the family's 1533-position model. The record is from RNAcentral.